RNAcentral lists this ribosomal RNA (253 nucleotides) under uncultured bacterium. Its description in RNAcentral is "partial 16S ribosomal RNA". It matches the Rfam family "Bacterial small subunit ribosomal RNA", at positions 524 to 776 of the family's 1533-position model. The record is from RNAcentral.
UACGUAGGGUGCAAGCGUUAAUCGGAAUUACUGGGCGUAAAGCGUGCGCAGGCGGCAGAGCAAGUCGAGUGUGAAAGCCCCGGGCUUAACUUGGGAAUUGCGCUCGAAACUACUUUGCUGGAGUGUGGCAGAGGAAGGUGGAAUUCCACGUGUAGCGGUGAAAUGCGUAGAGAUGUGGAGGAACACCAAUGGCGAAGGCAGCCUUCUGGGCCAACACUGACGCUCAUGCACGAAAGCGUGGGGAGCAAACAGG